GUGCUUUCCUACGCAUUUGACGCUAACGUGAUCCAUCCUGGAGGCUUCAUUUCUCUCUCUCUCUCACGCGCCGCCCUUGGAUUCUUCAACUAUAUAUACCGUAUUGCACCCCACUUCCUGUUCAAUCUUCAAUCCUUCAUUUUCUCUUUAAACUCAUAUCAUUUGUUUGAAGCUUUGUUCUAAAUUUUCAUUUCUUUUACCGAAUUUAUUGCUCGAUCGAAGAUGAAUUCAAUGUUGAGCGCUAAAUCGUGGAGUUUCUCCAUCAUCGGAUUUAUGCUGAUGGCGUUAAUCCGGUACAGUAACGGACAAGGAAUGGCGCCGUCGCCGGCACCGGCUGGUCCUUCCAACGACGGUGAGUAUAUUCGUUGGAAAUGUAUAUUUCUCUUUGUGAAACACGUGAUUUUACUCAUGAAAACUGUUCGAAAUUCUAGAUUUGUCGCAACAUCUUCUUCAUUUUCUAUUUCAGUUGUUAAAAUUGGGAGAAAUUGCUGAAUUGUUAAUUACAGUUUCUUUGUUUCUUUUUGAAAACUUGAAUUUUUUUCUUCCAAUUUCUUCCUCCUCUUCUGUUCAUCAUCAUCAUCAAGUGAGCAAGGAUUUACCAAUUAUUAACUGAAAAUUGAUUGAUUUAUUUGAUGCAGGCGCGGCAAUUGAUCAAGGGAUUGCAUAUGUUCUCCUAUUUGUAGCACUCGCGAUCACGUACUUAAUCCACUGAUGUUAGUAAUUAUUUUAAAAGUUUGAAAUUAUAUUAUUAGUGCGAUUAAUUCAAUUUUAUUUUUUUAAUGUAUUUUCUCCUAUUAUUGAGAGCAUAUAUUUGAAUUAUUUGCAUUUUCAAUUUUUCACCACUCUUUUAAAGAAACUAGUUUUAUCCCGUGCAAUGCACGGGUGUUGCUGAUUUCUGAAAGUAAUGUUAGUGCGUAAAUACGAGAUAGAUGUGAGUUUCUGAAAACUAAAGAGGGUACUUAAUUGAUAUACAAGUUAGUCGGACAAAAAAAAUCAAUAAACAAGAGGUAAAUGUAUGAAGAAAUAUUACAAAAUUUGUUUGCAUUUUUCAAGGGUCUAGUUGUACCAAAUAUGGUAGAGGCAACAAUGACUUCAUGGAAUUGUUCCAACUCCUUCAUAUCGGCACAUGAAUAUCAAACUCGGUACCAUCAUCUCGUUUGUGUCCCUUAGCAAAUGUGAAAAAGAAAAUGACUAAAACGUAAAGGAAUAUAAAUAAGAUAACAAAUUCAUAAAAUUACAAAAGGAGUAACAUCAAAUACUAAAAUUAGCUUAAAAUAAGCAGCUAAAACAACAAGAAAAAUGGAAAAAUGCAAACAUGACAAGCAAGGAAGAAUUUCAAGAACAGGAAAACAUUUUUAUUCAUUAACUUUCUUUUCUCAUUUAGAUAUACAGCCAAUAAAACUGAGAACAUAAUAGUGUAUUAAGCAGUUAAGAAGGUCACCCAAAAGAAGCGAAUUAUUAUGUUUCCAAGCAUAUGGUCUAUAAAUCUCCAUACAAUAUCGUUCAAUAGCUUCACAAUCCUCCAAUUUUCUAAGAUAGAAGUAAAUGCCCGAUAUUGUUUACAUCCUGAGAAAUAAUCAUUUCUCCUACAUUCUAACUGAGUAAUUAUAGCCAUCAAAUCUUCCAUAAUUAAAGGGUAUAAGAUAGUUAAAAAUAUCAAGUUAUUGCCUUCAUCAUUUAUCUUUAAGGUGAGAGAAUUAUCAUUUAUUUCACAUGAUAUGGUCUACCGACAUAAACAUGGGGCAUUAUAAUUAGAAAUGGCAGUAUGUUGCUAUUUAGAAAUCAAAAGUGCAGAAAUCAAACCAUGAGCACUUGAUAGAACAAACAAUCUUGGAAUCAUCUGUUUGCAAUUUCAGGGACAGAGAAUGGAGAAAGAAUGUAUACCAUGACUUUGUCAACUAGCUAUAAACUUACAAG
RNAcentral lists this long non-coding RNA (1917 nucleotides) under Olea europaea subsp. europaea. Lineage: Eukaryota; Viridiplantae; Streptophyta; Magnoliopsida; Lamiales; Oleaceae. The record is from RNAcentral.